CGAACACGGAAGUUAAGCUCUUCAGCGCCGAUGGUAGUUGGGGGUCUCCCCCUGUUAGAGUAGGACGUCGCUAGGC
Molecule: ribosomal RNA, 76 nt
Filed under: Fictibacillus sp. BK138
Lineage: Bacteria; Bacillati; Bacillota; Bacilli; Caryophanales; Fictibacillaceae
Source: RNAcentral